UACGAAGGGGGCUAGCGUUGCUCGGAAUCACUGGGCGUAAAGCGCACGUAGGCGGCUUUUUAAGUCAGGGGUGAAAUCCUGGAGCUCAACUCCAGAACUGCCUUUGAUACUGAGAAGCUUGAGUCCGGGAGAGGUGAGUGGAACUGCGAGUGUAGAGGUGAAAUUCGUAGAUAUUCGCAAGAACACCAGUGGCGAAGGCGGCUCACUGGCCCGGUACUGACGCUGAGGUGCGAAAGCGUGGGGAGCGAACCGG
Molecule: ribosomal RNA, 253 nt
Filed under: uncultured bacterium
Lineage: Bacteria
Description: partial 16S ribosomal RNA
Rfam family: Bacterial small subunit ribosomal RNA
Source: RNAcentral